GAUCAUGGCUCAGGAUGAACGCUAGCGGCAGGCCUAACACAUGCAAGUCGAGGGGCAUCACAGGUAGCAAUACCGGGUGGCGACCGGCGCACGGGUGCGUAACGCGUAUGCAACCUACCCAUAACAGGGGGAUAACACUGAGAAAUUGGUACUAAUACCCCAUAACAUCAGAACCGGCAUCGGUUUUGGUUGAAAACUCCGGUGGUUAUGGAUGGGCAUGCGUUGUAUUAGCUAGUUGGUGAGG
Molecule: ribosomal RNA, 244 nt
Filed under: uncultured bacterium
Lineage: Bacteria
Description: partial 16S ribosomal RNA
Rfam family: Bacterial small subunit ribosomal RNA
Source: RNAcentral